CAGAUAAUCUGUCCAUGUCAUACA
Molecule: non-coding RNA, 24 nt
Filed under: Arabidopsis thaliana (thale cress)
Lineage: Eukaryota; Viridiplantae; Streptophyta; Magnoliopsida; Brassicales; Brassicaceae
Source: RNAcentral